Molecule: ribosomal RNA, 508 nt
Filed under: uncultured Actinomycetes bacterium
Lineage: Bacteria; Bacillati; Actinomycetota; Actinomycetes
Description: bacterial SSU rRNA
Rfam family: Bacterial small subunit ribosomal RNA
Source: RNAcentral
GGCCACAUUCCACGUGGUCUGUGCCGCAGCUAACGCAUUAAGCGCCCCGCCUGGGGAGUACGGCCGCAAGGCUAAAACUCAAAGGAAUUGACGGGGGCCCGCACAAGCGGCGGAGCAUGUGGCUUAAUUCGAUGCAACGCGAAGAACCUUACCUGGGUUUGACAUGCAGGGAAAUCUCGUAGAGAUACGGGGUCCGUAAGGGCCUUGCACAGGUGGUGCAUGGCUGUCGUCAACUCGUGUCGUGGGAUGUUGGGUUAAGUCCCGCAACGAGCGCAACCCUCGUCCUAUGUUGCCAGCGAGUAACGUCGGGGACUCAUAGGAGACUGCCGGGGUCAACUCGGAGGAAGGUGGGGAUGACGUCAAGUCAUCAUGCCCCUUAUAUCCAGGGCUGCACACAUGCUACGAUGGCCAGUACAAAGAGCUGCGAUACCGCAAGGUGGAGCGAAUCUCAUAAAGCCGGUCUCAGUUCGGAUUGGGGUCUGCAACUCGACCCCAUGAAGUCGGAGUC